Long non-coding RNA from Quercus lobata, 410 nucleotides. RefSeq lists it as uncharacterized. NCBI's taxonomy places the organism in Eukaryota, Viridiplantae, Streptophyta, Magnoliopsida, Fagales, Fagaceae. The record is from RefSeq and is a predicted model, not a curated record. The transcript has 3 exons.
AAGUGAAACCUAGCAGAGGGUGUGGUUUCCUUCAAAGAGAAGUGCUCCUUUGUCGUCUGUUGGACAAGUUACGCAUUAUGUGAAAAUAUGUUGAAGAAGUUAAUGGUGGUCAUUGCAAUGGAAUGAUUUGGGAGAGUUGCAGACUAUGGCCUGGACUUCAGGAGGUUCACUCUUUAUUUCUCAAGGGAGUAAUUGAAUUCAUGUUUGAGUAAAGCAAAUGACACAGAAAUUUUUACUGCAAUGCGUGGAGAAUUUGGCAACCAAAAAUCAACAAUGGACUAAAAUUACAGAGCAUCCACUAUGGUCCAUGGAGCAUCUCACUGUGGGCACAAGAAUACUUGAUUGAGUACACUAGAUUAAGAAACAUUGCAAAUUAAUUUAUGCUUCUUUUUUUUUUUUUUUUUGGUUUA